This 460-nucleotide ribosomal RNA is filed under the name uncultured bacterium. RNAcentral's name for it is "SSU rRNA". It matches the Rfam family "Bacterial small subunit ribosomal RNA", at positions 26 to 518 of the family's 1533-position model. The record is from RNAcentral.
AGAACGAACGCUGGCGGCAGGCCUAACACAUGCAAGUCGAACGAGAAGCCACCUUCGGGUGGUGGACAGUGGCAGACGGGUGAGUAACGCGUGGGAACGUGCCUUUCGGUUCGGGAUAACCCAGGGAAACUUGGGCUAAUACCGGAUACGCCCUUCGGGGGAAAGAUUCAUUGCCGAAAGAUCGGCCCGCGUCGGAUUAGCUAGUUGGUGGGGUAAAAAGCCUACCAAGGCGACGAUCCGUAGCUGGUCUGAGAGGAUGACCAGCCACACUGGGACUGAGACACGGCCCAGACUCCUACGGGAGGCAGCAGUGGGGAAUUUUCCGCAAUGGGCGAAAGCCUGACGGAGCAAGACCGCGUGGGGGAAGAAGGCUCUUGGGUUGUAAACCCCUUUUCUCUGGGAAGAACGCAAUGACGGUACCAGAGGAAUCAGCAUCGGCUAACUCCGUGCCAGCAGCCGC